AUCAAACUGGGAGAUAGCUCGUACUCCCCGAAAUGUCUUUUGGGACAGCCUCAAGCUACAGAGUUUACCGGAGGUAGAGCUACUGAUAGGAUGCGAGGGCUUCACCGCCUAUCAAAUCCUGACAAACUCCGAAUGCCGGUAAAUGAUGCUUGGGAGUGAGUUGCCGGGUGCUAAUGUCCGGUAGCGAGAGGGAAAGAGCCCAGACCAACGGCUAAGGCCCCUAAAGUGUGUUAAGUUGACAGAACGAGGUGCGGUUGCUGAGACAGCUAGGAUGUUAGCUUGGAAGCAGCUAGUCAUUUAAAGAGUGCGUAACAGCUCACUAGUCGAGCGACUGUGCGUGGAUAAUAAUCGGGCAUCAAACACACUGCCGAAGCCAUGGACUUCAAAGAAGUGGUAGGGGAGCAUUCCAGAGGGCGUAGAAGGAUAACCUGUGAAGGAAUCUGGAGCGUCUGGAAAAGCAGAUGUAGGCAUAAGUAACGAUAAUGCGGGUUAAAAACCCGCACACCGCAAGCCCAAGGUUUCCUGAUCAAUGUUAGACAGAUCAGGGUUAGUCAGGACCUAAGGGGAAUCCGAGAGGAGCACCCGAUGGACAAAUGGUUAAUAUUCCAUUACCUGUAUGAUAAAGGGGAGGAGUGACGUAGGAGUGACAUGUACGCCGACUGACGGAAUAGUUGGUUAAAGCACGUAAGCAGAUCCGAAGAUUAAGAGUCAUUGGAUGCAGAAGUGCGACAGUACCGCAAGGCUUCGGCUGCGCGGAUAGUUACAGUAAGCAGACUACCGAGAAAAGCUUCGUACCCGUUACCUAUCAUAGAGCCUGUACCGUAAACCGACACAGGUGGGCGAGGAGAGUAUCCUCAGGUGCUCGAGAGAAUCAUGGCUAAGGAACUCGGCAAAAUGACCCCGUAACUUCGGGAAAAGGGGUCCCUGGCGACAGGGCGCAGAGAAAUGGCCCAGGCGACUGUUUAACAAAAACACAUGGCUUUGCAAAAUCGCAAGAUGAAGCAUAAGGCCUGACACCUGCCCGGUGCUGGAAGGUUAAGAGGGGGCGUCAGCCGCAAGGCGAAGCGCUGAAUCGAAGCCCCAGUAAACGGCGGCCGUAACUAUAACGGUCCUAAGGUAGCGAAAUUCCUUGUCGGGUAAGUUCCGACCUGCACGAAUGGUGUAACGAUCUGGGCGCUGUCUCAGCCAUGAGCUCGGUGAAAUUGUAGUAACGGUGAAGAUGCCGUUUACCCGCAACGGGACGAAAAGACCCCGUGAACCUUUACUAUAGCUUAGCGCUGAUUUUGGAUAAGUGAUGUGUAGGAUAGGUGGGAGACUGCGAAGCAGGUACGCCAGUAUUUGUGGAGUCGCCGUUGAAAUACCACCCUUUGCUUAUCUGGGAUCUAACUUGAACAAGGACACCGCUUGGUGGGUAGUUUGACUGGGGUGGUCGCCUCCAAAAGCGUAACGGAGGCUUCCCAAGGUGCACUCGGCACGGAUGGUAAUCGUGCACAGAGUAUAUUGGCACAAGUGCGCUUGACUGUGAGACCAACAAGUCGACCAGGUACGAAAGUAGGGCAAAGUGAUCCGGUGGUUCCGCAUGGGUGGGCCAUCGCUCAAAGGAUAAAAGGUACUCCGGGGAUAACAGGCUGAUCGCUCCC
This 1640-nucleotide ribosomal RNA is filed under the name wastewater metagenome. Its description in RNAcentral is "bacterial LSU rRNA". It matches the Rfam family "Bacterial large subunit ribosomal RNA", at positions 832 to 2493 of the family's 2925-position model. The record is from RNAcentral.